RNAcentral lists this small RNA (154 nucleotides) under Citrobacter freundii. Its description in RNAcentral is "sroC RNA". It matches the Rfam family "sroC RNA". Rfam says of the family: This family consists of a number of bacterial sroC RNA genes of around 160 bases in length. sroC is found in several Enterobacterial species. Lineage: Bacteria; Pseudomonadati; Pseudomonadota; Gammaproteobacteria; Enterobacterales; Enterobacteriaceae. The record is from RNAcentral.
AUGAAGUGUAAUCAGGGAGGCUUCCCCUCCCUCUCGAUUGCUACUCAGCACGGACAGACUAUAAGCCUGAUGGUCGUUCCCCAUCAGGCCUGAAAACCGCAAAACGCUGAAUAACAAUCUUCGGGGGUAGCGCUGCUACCCUUUUUUUUCUGGA